GGCCGGGAACUCAAAGGAGACUGCCAGUGAUAAACUGGAGGAAGGUGGGGAUGACGUCAAGUCAUCAUGCCCUUACGACCAGGGCUACACACGUGCUACAAUGGCAUAUACAAAGAGAAGCGACCUCGCGAGAGCAAGCGGACCUCAUAAAGUAUGUCGUAGUCCGGAUUGGAGUCUGCAACUCGACUCCAUGAAGUCGGAAUCGCUAGUAAUCGUAGAUCAGAAUGCUACGGUGAAUACGUUCCCGGGCCUUGUACACACCGCCCGUCACACCAUGGGAGUGGGUUGCAAA
RNAcentral lists this ribosomal RNA (292 nucleotides) under Klebsiella pneumoniae. RNAcentral's name for it is "partial 16S ribosomal RNA". It matches the Rfam family "Bacterial small subunit ribosomal RNA", at positions 1129 to 1421 of the family's 1533-position model. Lineage: Bacteria; Pseudomonadati; Pseudomonadota; Gammaproteobacteria; Enterobacterales; Enterobacteriaceae. The record is from RNAcentral.